GACGAACGCUGGCGGCGUGCUUAACACAUGCAAGUCGAACGGAAAGGCCCUGCUUUUGUGGGGUGCUCGAGUGGCGAACGGGUGAGUAACACGUGAGUAACCUGCCCUUGACUUUGGGAUAACUUCAGGAAACUGGGGCUAAUACCGGAUAGGAGCUCCUGCUGCAUGGUGGGGGGUGGAAAGUUUCGGCGGUUGGGGAUGGACUCGCGGCUUAUCAGCUUGUUGGUGGGGUAGUGGCUUACCAAGGCUGUGACGGGUAGCCGGCCUGAGAGGGUGACCGGCCACAUGGGGACUGAGAUACGGCCCAGACUCUUACGGGAGGCAGCAGUGGGGAAUAUUGCACAAUGGGCGGAAGCCUGAUGCAGCAACGCCGCGUGCGGGAUGACGGCCUUCGGGUUGUAAACCGCUUUCGCCUGUGACGAAGCGUGAGUGACGGUAUGGGUAAAGAAGCACCGGCUAACUACGUG
RNAcentral lists this ribosomal RNA (467 nucleotides) under uncultured bacterium. RNAcentral's name for it is "partial 16S ribosomal RNA". It matches the Rfam family "Bacterial small subunit ribosomal RNA", at positions 28 to 507 of the family's 1533-position model. The record is from RNAcentral.